Molecule: unclassified non-coding RNA, 345 nt
Filed under: soil metagenome
Description: partial contains 5.8S ribosomal RNA, internal transcribed spacer 2, and large subunit ribosomal RNA
Rfam family: 5.8S ribosomal RNA (bases 1-120)
Source: RNAcentral
GAUGAAGAACGCAGCGAAAUGCGAUAAGUAGUGUGAAUUGCAGAAUUCAGUGAAUCAUCGAAUCUUUGAACGCACAUUGCGCCCCCUGGUAUUCCGGGGGGCAUGCCUGUCCGAGCGUCAUUGCUGCCCUCAAGCACGGCUUGUGUGUUGGGCCCCGUCCUCCGAUCCCGGGGGACGGGCCCGAAAGGCAGCGGCGGCACCGCGUCCGGUCCUCGAGCGUAUGGGGCUUUGUCACCCGCUCUGUAGGCCCGGCCGGCGCUUGCCGAUCAACCCAAAUUUUUAUCCAGGUUGACCUUGGAUCAGGUAGGGAUACCCGCUGAACUUAAGCAUAUCAAUAAGCGGAGG